This is a long non-coding RNA of Prionailurus viverrinus (fishing cat), 643 nucleotides long. RefSeq lists it as uncharacterized. The record is from RefSeq and is a predicted model, not a curated record. The transcript has 3 exons. Lineage: Eukaryota; Metazoa; Chordata; Mammalia; Carnivora; Felidae.
CUGUAACUUCUCUGCCCAGUUCCCCUGUGAGCAACCGUAUGGCUUCCCGGCAUACCCCCUCGAGAGCGCGCCAGUCCCUUCCGGAGGAUGCACGGUAUUUGGGGGAGAACACCAGUACUGCCCGGGAACUGAAGGAAGAGGUCCUAGUCCCUCUGCCCUGCAAACCUGGCUGCCUGGCCUCAGGCGGGUCACCUCGUGGCUGGAUGAAGUUCUUUCAUCACUAAAAUGACGCUACGAUGGACACAACAGAACCAACCGUCUCCUCCCUCCUCUCCCCUGCAGGGAUGCCAGGUGUGGUAGCAGGAACAGUGGGUGUUCCGUCUGCUGACCUCAGAGCUGCUCUCCCUCUACUAAGCUGCAAACUCCUUAUAAGUUAGGACCUUGCUUUAUUUCUUUGUUCCCCUAGCCCAGGGCCUAGGAGAGAUUAUGCCUGCAAUCAAUGAUAGUUGCAAAAACGUUUAAAGUAUAAAGCUUUCCAUGACUGUAAGAUAUUAUUUUUAUCUUUUUCACCCUAAAUAGCCCUUGCCAAGGCCUUUCAUAGAUAGUGUGGGAAACUCCAGAACUGAAAAAUCCAGCCCUUGUAAAACCUGUUUUGCUGUUUUCUCUUUUAAAAGAACAUGUUGCCUUUAUUUUCUUUUUUUAA